AGAGUUUGAAUUAUUAUUUAAACAGGAUUAUAAUAGUCAAUUUAUAAUAAUAAACUUAUAUGUUAACCAUUUGUUAAAAAAAUAAUAAUAAGAAUUUUGAGACUGCUAAAAAUGAAAGGAUGGAUAAAGUGAGACAGGAGAAUAUUUGGUAGGUUAUAGUAGGUUUGGUUAAGGUUGUAGCCUCCCAAUAUAAAAAAAUCCUUUAAUUCAGCCUUUUUCCGUUCCUUUUCUCAACUUCUGCUCACAAACCUGUUCAAAAUUAAAUUCAAAUUAAAAUUAAAUAUUUAUCUCAAAAUUAUAAUAAAAUUAUGAAAUUAAAUGGGAAUAAAAUUGUGAGUUUUACAACUCAUCACAAAGCUUAGAGACUAAAGAUGUCUUAGUAAUUAGGAAGAUGCAAAAGGGUCUAUACAAGUUUAAAUGAUAAAUUCAAGGCGAUGGGGAGAUAAGAUAGAUUUUGCCACCUAAACAAGGAUAAGAUCAGCUUUAAGUAGAGUCAAAUUGAAUCAAACUCAAUCAGAUGAGGAUAAAGAUAAGAUUAAGAUAGAGAUAAGAUAGGAAUAAUAGAUUUUAUUUUAAAUUUUAUCUUUUUGUGCCUAUAAAGGCUCCUCGCAUUAAACCUAGGAUCAUAUUCUACCUCUCACUCUCAUUUCCUCUCUUACUGCCCCAUCUUCUUCUCCAUCUUAUUUUCUUUUUCUUCUUCUCCAUCUUAUUUUCUUUUUCUUCUUCUUUUGCUUAGUUUUUAUAAUUUUAUUAUGGCCAUGAGUGACUAAAUAAUUAUUUUUCAGUUGAAGGUUAAAUUAAAUUGAGGUUUGUUCAAGUUGUGAGGUUAUGCUUUAAUUCUCUUCAUCUUAUUUCUAUUUUCUAUUAAUUUCUGAAUUCGAGGAACACCACCUCCAUUGUUGUUUUUUUGAGAAUUCAAGGGGCCCAUUGAAUCUCUUGGGAAGACAACAUAUUGCUAAUUAAUCUAAUUAAAUCCGUAAUUGUUUAAUUGGGUUAAUAACAAGUAGUAAUUAAUAUAUUAGUUUAUAUUAAGAAAUUAGUAGAUUUGAUUUUAAAAAAACGCGUGUUUUUAUUGAUCAAGUGUGGUUUCUUCUCUCUUAAUGCAGUUAACUAAUUAAAUCUACACGCGUGUUGGGGUUGUUAGUUAACUAGAAAUUAAUUUAAGCGCGAAGCGGAUUAAUUUAUUCAUAAGGAAGAAUUGGUGGGAUUCGCAUGUUUGAUCACUAUAACCAAACAAUAGAUAAUAAUAUGAAAUACUUUUUUUCUAACCAAUGAUCAACUGCAAAAUACCUCAAUUUGAUUACCUUCAGCUGAAAGUUUUAGUUAAUUAUUUAUUUCUUCAAUUUCAAUUGCAUUAUUUAUUAUUUCUCUUUUAAGUUUAUUUUUUUUGCUUACCCAAGGCAGAAUCAUUUUCAUCAAAAGAUUCUCUUCUUCUCACUUUUUGUAUUAACUAUUCUUCUAUUUCAAAUUGGUCAUCUAAAUUAAAUAGGAUUAAGAUCUCUGUGGGAUUGAUACUCGCUUACCCUAUCUACAAGUUCUUAUCAAUCAAGAAAAGGGAAGUAAAUUUUAAAUUGAUAGAUUCGACACCCGUCAAAUUUUGGCGCCGUAGUCGGGGAUCUCUAACAAUUUGUUUUUAUUUUUAUGACCAGAUCUAAGAAUAACAAGAUUCAGUUUGAUCCAGAAAUCGAGAAGACUGCAAAAAGGUUGAGGAAAGCAACUAAGUUGCAAAAACAAGCCAAUUCGGGAGUAGUUAUGAUUCAUAUGUUACCAAAAUUCCAAGGCUUGGAGAAUGAAGACCCUCAUCGUCAUCUAAAGGAGUUUUAUGUGGUUUGUUCAAGUAUGAUACCACAAGGUAUAACUGACAAACAAAUAAGGUUGGUAGCUUUUCCUUUCACUUUAAUUGAAUCUGCUAAGGAUUGGCUCUACUAUUUGUCCCCAAGUUCAAUCACCACUUAGGUGCAAAUUAGAGACUUAUUCUUAGAAAGAUUUUUUCCACUGACCAGAGCAUCAUCAAUAAGAAAGGAAAUAAGUGGAAUUAAACAAAGAAAAAAUGAAACUUUACAUGAAUAUUGGAAAAGGUAUAAGAAAUUAAUUGCAAGUUGUCCAAAAUAUGGAAUCACUCCAAAACAGCUUAACCUUCACUUCUACGAAGGACUUUUGCCAUUAGAACGAAGGAUGAUUGAUGCUGCUAGUGGAGGUGCCAUUUCAUAAAUGGAACCUAAAGAAGGUAAAACCUUAAUCUCUAAAAUGGCCGCCAAUUCUAGACAAUAUGGCCAAGAAGAGGACAUUCUAAGAAAUGCCAAUGAAGUAAGUUGUAAUACCCGACUAGACCUCGGUAUCGAAAUUCCUACCUUCCGGCGGAAUCUCGGAUGUCGGAACCCUCUAGAUGGGUAAAAUAUGUUUUUCUAAAAUAUUUUCAUGUGUUUAAUGUUUUAUAGAAGAGGAAAAAUUGAGUUUUAAAAGAAAAAGCAAAGAAAAGUAAAGUGAAGGAAAAACCCAGGUUCGGCCACCGAACAUGGGAUGCAUGUGGAGGCACGUUAGGCCCCCGAAAGUGGUCUGGCCAGCCACCUAUAAAGGGGUUCCCUGUCCAAAAUGGGCGAGUUUUCUCUCCCCAUUUUUGGCCAAGGUGAGUCUCCGCCAUUCCCUUGUAGAUCCUGUGUUCUUCCUUCGAGUUUUUCAUGAUUUUUAUGAGUUUCCAUCUUGUUUUGAAGAUUUUUAAGCUAAAGAGCAAGUUUUGAAGCUUGGAGACCCCGGAGCUCGUCUUCUCCACAACUCCGAGUUCGGAUCGUCUCUCCUCUCGAUCUUCAAGAGGUAAGAGUAGAUCCUCACCUCCUGUGAUGUUUUAAGUAAGUUUUGAGGGGUUUUAAGGGGGUUUAAUGCAUGUAUAAAGUAGAUGCAAAAUGUUAAGGUUUAUGUUAGUUAUUGCUCAAAUGUAUGCUUUGAUGAUGUGUUGUUGGGGUUUAGGCUAGUUUGAAGCCCCUAUAUGUUUGAGAAUGUGUUUAUGCAUGUUUUUGCAUGAGUUGGUUUGAGUUUGGAAGUUGGGAGCCAAAUGUGCAUGAGGGAGGCUUGAGUUCUGCCAUUUUGAAAGAACUCAGGUUCAGCAGCCGAAGCCAUGUUCGACCGCCGAACCUGCCUGUGGAGGCAUGUUUUGGCUGCCGAACCCUGCCCCCGAAAGUUGGACUUUCGGCUCUGGAGGAGAGUUUCGGCCGCCGAAGGUGCCGCCAAACAUGCAUGAGUUUCGGAUCUAGAAGGAACCUUCGUGAUACGGAUCCAAUAGGGCAAAUUUCUAACAAUGGUGUGGAGCAAACUUAUGUCAUUCAAAUGGAUCUAAAAGGAGUUCAAAAUCAUAUUCAUAUGAUCCAUAUAUAUUUGGGGCGUGCUUCAACUCAUAUGGAACAGAUUUGAUGCAACAAUUGCAAUCAUAGGUUUAGGGAGCCUAAUCAAACUUAUGGGCUAAAACUACACAAAGGGAUCCGUAUCACGAAGGUUCCUUCUAGAUCCGAAACUCAUGCAUGUUCGGCGGCACCUUCGGCGGCCGAAACUCCCCUCCAGAGCCGAAAGUCCAACUUUCGGGGGCAGGGUUCGGCAGCCAAAACAUGCCUCCACAGGCAUGUUCGGCCGCUGAACCUGCCUGUGGAGGCAUGUUUUGGCUGCCGAACCCUGCCCCCGAAAGUUGGACUUUCGGCUCUGGAGGGGAGUUUCGGCCGCCGAAGGUGCCGCCGAACAUGCAUGAGUUUCGGAUCUAGAAGGAACCUUCGUGAUACGGAUCCAAUAGGGCAAAUUUCUAACAAUGGUGUGGAGCAAACUUAUGUCAUUCAAAUGGAUCUAAAAGGAGUUCAAAAUCAUAUUCAUAUGAUCUAUAUAUAUUUGGGGCGUGCUUCAACUCAUAUGGGACAGAUUUGGUGCAACAAUUGCAAUCAUAGGCUUAGGGAGCCUAAUCAAACUUAUGGGCUAAAACUACACAAAGGGAAGCCUAAAGUGAAGAUCAAGUAAGGCUUUUGUGAAGAAUCAGCUUUGUUAUGAUGGGCUUGCUAUAUUUUUAUUAUUUAACACUUGUUUUAUUUUAGUUUUGUUUGGGCUUGUAUUUUGGUCAUACUUUAUCUUUUAAGUUUUAGAGUGUUGGGCCAUGUUUUGGGGUUAUGUUUUACUACUUAUGUGUUAUUUUAGUGUGUGAUUGGGCUUAGGCCUUAUGUGUUUAAGUCAGACCCAAGAAGAGUGUCUUAGGGUUUUUUUUGUUUUCUCCUUACUAUAUAAGGAUUAGAAACACUUGUAAGAGGCAGCUUUUAAUCAAAAUUUACAGAAUUCAUUUCAUGCCUUUGGCGUGUAUUGCUUUGAGUGAGAGUGAGGAUUUGCUUUCAUCAAUUGCACUAGGAAUCUUGGCUAACUUAUCAACUAUUCAUUGUGGCGUUUGUCAGAUUCUCAUCUAAAUUCUUCGAUCAUUGGUGUUUCAGCUUCUCUAAGUGUGGGGUGCCAUAGGAGGUGGGUUUAUCAAAUCUUUGGAUUCCAUAUCUACUUAUGCGUGUGGGUUUGAGGCUUGUGCCAUAGGGUUUCGCAUCAGUUGGUAUCAGAGCCAAAGUGAGGUAAAUUCUUAUUUAUCUUAGGAUCUAGGGUUUUUGAGUUUUCUUUUUCUUCCUUGUUAUUUUCGGUAAAAGCUUGUGUGACCAUGGUUGCACAUUCUUGAUUACUGAUCAUCACAAAAAAAAAAAAAAAAAAAUUGAAAUCCUAAAAAAAAAAAAAUCAAAAACGCCUUUGCCUUAUUUAUCUUGAUCUAGCCGAAAUUGUGAUAUGCUUCCUUUUUCGUCCAUAUUGCCUUACUUAUCUCAAUUGAUUGCUGUUAUUUGUGGGAAUCAAUUUUAAAUUUUGAAUUUUGAAUUGCAUUGAAUCCAGAUUAGGGGAUAAAAGCAAUUCUGUCUAUUUCCUAACGUGCACAUUUAAGGCAAUUGCAUCUAAAUUGAUUUGAUGUCAAAUACUUCUUUUAACACCAGAAUUUUCGUCCAUGUUUCUAAACUGAGUGGAAUUUAAUUUUUUUUUAUUCUAUUUGUGGGGUUUUGAUACUUGCCUUUUUUGGUAGAUUUAAACAGAUUCAUAUUUAAUUUGCGUUGAAGUGAAUUAAAUUCAAACUUCUGUCCAGAUUCGUUUUUAUUUGAAUUCUAAGUUUCCUUUUUUUUUUUUGUUUAAGCUUACUUUUUCUUCCUUGACAUUGCUGGAGUAUUGUUUGCUGGUGUCUAUACUCUAGGUGAUAUUUUUCAAGUAGCACAACACCUAGUUCUUGUGUUACUUUCCAAAUUGUCAGUGUCUUCUUUCUAGUUUUUGCGUGUUUCCUUCUUUCUUUAGGUUUUCUUCUUUGUUUCAUUAAACGCACCUUGUGGUUGGUUGGUUGACCUUAGUUUCUGAAGUGCAAUUGAAGAACCAGCAAAAGAGUGGUAAGAGUGCAAACACUUGACUGCUUUCUUUUCUGAUACAAUAUUUGCUAGUUCUGUUUGUUCCUUGUUGAUUUAAGGUAGGAUUAGUAAAGACAAGAAUGUGGUGGAUCGUACUGAUGAAAGUGAAUCGAACAUGGGUAACGAUUACAAGCUCUUUAAGAAGUCAGUCAGUGGUGAGUUACAAAGGCUCAAUAAGACUCUUGAGAGGUUGACUAAAACUAUAGAGAGUUUGAAUGCCUCACAAGCUUCCACUUCUACAAGAAUACCUCAAAGAACUCUUAAUUGCAAUAAUGACUGUGAUAAUUUGGAUGUGUUGGUUAAUAAUGUGCUGCUUGCUGCACAUUGUGAGAUGCUUGUUGCUAGGCGUGCUCUGAAUAUGCAGGUUAAGGAAGAAAGCCUAGAACAACGGGAAAAUAUAUUUCACACUAGGUGUUUGGUUAAUGGAAAAGUGUGUACUCUCAUUAUUGAUGGAGGUAGUUGCACAAAUGUGGCUAGUGUGUAUAUGGUGGAGAAAUUGGGCUUGGCUUCUAUUAAACACCCUAAGCCAUACAGAUUGCAAUAAUUGAAUGAUUGUGGUGAGGUUAGGGUUACACGGCAGGUGGCUAUACCAUUUUCUAUUGGUAGGUAUAAGGAUGAGAUAUUGUGUGAUGUGGUACCUAUGCAGGCAAGCCAUAUGUUGUUGGGUAGACCGUGGCAACAUGAUAGAAAGGUGCAACAUGAUGGGUUCAAUAACAAGUACUCCUUCACUCAUGAAGGACAGAAGGUUAUACUCGCUCCUUUAUCACCUCAUGAGGUAUAUGUUGAUCAAAUAAAGAUGCUGGAGAGGGAGAGUGAGGCUUCGGCCUUGGCCACAAAAAGGAGUGAGAGCUUGAAUUCUGCGGAAAAGAUGAGAGAAAAGAGUGAGUUUGAGGGUAAAGAGACUGGAAAAGAAUCAAGACUAGUUCAAGAAGGGAAAGUGGAGAAAGAAAAGGAGAAAGAAGAGGCUAAAGUUCCAAUCUCAACUUCCAUAGAGGUUGAAAUUGAAGAGGAAGUUGUAAUGCAUGAAUCUAAUGUAGUAGUUGUUGAGAAUUCCAUCAAUGAACUUAUAGAAGAGGUUGUGAAUAAUGAAGGACAUGGGGAGCACAUGAUUGGUGAAGUGGAGGAGGCGAAUGAGAUUGUUUUGGAAGUUGUAGAGGAGAAUGGGUCACAUCCACAUGAUCUUUCUACGACUAAUAUUUUUAUGUCUAGUUCAUUUGUUCUUGAUGUGCAGGUUGUUGAUGAAAACAUUUAUGACGAAAGUUUUAUCCUAUUUCCACCUAUUCAAAAGGAGGUUUUUGAAGAUACAUGGGUCCCUAUAGCUUCCCUUUUUGACAUAAAUAUCAGUAAGAUUCGAGGACGAAUCUUUUCUAAAGAAGGCGAGAAUGAUACGGAUCCAAUAGGACAAAUUUCUAACAAUGGUGUGGAGCAAACUUAUGUCAUUCAAAUGGAUCUAAAAGGAGUUCAAAAUCAUAUUCAUAUGAUCCAUAUAUAUUUGGGGCGUGCUUCAACUCAUAUAGGACAGAUUUGGUGCAACAAUUGCAAUCAUAUUCUUAGGGAGCCUAAUCAAACUUAUGGGCUAAAACUACACAAAGGGAAGCCUAAAGUGAAGAUCAAGUAAGGCUUUUGUGAAGAAUCAGCUUUGUUAUGAUGGGCUUGCUAUAUUUUUAUUAUUUAACUCUUGUUUUAUUUUAGUUUUGUUUAGGCUUGUAUUCUGGUCAUACUUUAUCUUUUAAGUUUUAGAGUGUUGGGCCAUGUUUUGGGGUUAUGUUUUACUACUUAUGUGUUAUUUUAGUGUGUAAUUGAGCUUAGGUCUUAUGUGUUUAAGUCAGGCCCAAGAAGAGUGUCUUAGGGUUUUUUUUGUUUUCUCCUUACUAUAUAAAGAUUAGAAACACUUGUAAGAGGCAGCUUUUAAUCAAAAUUUACAUAAUUCCUUUCAUGCCUUUGGCGUGUAUUGCUUUGAGUGAGAGUGAGGAUUUGCUUUCAUCAAUUGCACCAGGAAUCUUGGCUAACUUAUCAACUAUUCGUUGUGGCGUUUGUCAGAUUCUCAUCUAAAUCCUUCGAUCAUUGGUGUUUCAGCUUCUCUAAGUGUGGGGUGUCAUAGGAGGUGGGUUUAUCAAAUCUUUGGAUUCCAUAUCUACUUGUGCGUGUGGGUUUGAGGCUUGUGCGUGUGGGUUUGAGGCUUGUGCCAUAGGGUUCCGCGUCACUUCGGCCGCUGAAGGUGCAUGACUUUCGGCUCUGGAGGGACUUUCGGCCUCCGAAUCUACCGCCGAAAGUGCCCUGCCCAGCCUUCCUUUGCAUGCUUUCUAAGAAUGUUUCAUGAUGUUUUAGGGGGUUUUUGGGGAGAUGUUUAGAGUCAUGAUAGAGUAUGUUUGGUCCCUCAUUUGAGUCCACCUGUGUAGGUUCGGACCAGAGGAACCGAGGAGGUCAGCAGUGAACUAGUUGCUAUAGAGUCGAUAAAGCGUCAGCCAGAGGUGAGUAGAACUGAACCUUAUGUUUUAAAGUAAAGGAACUUUUGAGCAUGAUCCAUGCAUCAUUAAUGCCAUGAUAUGUAUUAGGUUGUUUUGCAUUAGAAUUCACGAAUAUGUUGCAUUGCGUAAUGUGAUGUUGAUGUGGAUGGAUAUUGAAUGAUCCACUAGCCCUCAUGAUGAUAUGAUAUGAUAUGAUAUGAUAUGAUAUGAUAUGAUAUGAUAUGAUACGGAAGUCUAGGUCGAGGCCCAUUCUACGCCCCUGGCACAUUGGAAUGUUAUGUUAUGUUAUGCUUAAGAGGAAGUUCUGAGGAGCUCCGUCGAGGGCCGGGCAUUAUUAGAUAUGUAGGGGGCUUUUGGUGACAAUACCAUCUUAAGAUGAUUACUUGUGUUGUGAUGCAUUUCAUGUUGGCAUAUAAUAUUUAAAUGUUUUAUUGUUCUGCUCACUGGGCUUUUUAGCUCACCCAUUUCCCCUAACCCCAGGUUUGCAGGUUCAGAAUAGAUCGGGCGGUCUUCAAGGGUAAAAGUUAUGUACAUGUAAUAGUUAGAUGGUUAUGGACAUGUAUUGUAAAACGAUAUUAAUGUAAUGUAAUGUUGUCCAGUAAUGUAAUGUAUUGAGUAUUAGUUGUGCUUGGCCCUAACGUUUAUGUUAAUCCCUUGUUGUACAUGACCUUAAUAAAUGUUUUAAUGAUGUUCUUAUGGAUAUGUACCCAGCUUGACAUAUGUUAUGUUGACCCACUAGAGCAUUUGAUGAGGGCUCUAGUAGGAGUUUUAUGUUUACAUGGAUAGUGCAUGCACAGGUCAAGCUAGGGGUACGAAAAGUUUAAAUUUUUAUGUAAAUGUAUGAUCAUGUAUGGGAUUGUAUCAGGCACACAGGUUGUAUGUUAGGCUUGCUACGGGUCCCGGCGACCUUAAGUCGAUCUGGAUCCUAGCGCCGGUAACGAUCCGAUUUUCGGGUCGUUAUAUAAGUAUUGCAUCUUUAGAUUCUAAAAUUUCACAACUAACAGCUGCAAUUCAAUAAUUGGCUGCAGGGAAUAAUGCACGAACUUGUGGCAUUUGCAAACAAGCAGAUCACCCCCACAGAUAUGUGUCCUAUCCUUCAAGAAGGAGAGCAACAGGCAAAUGCCAUUGGAGGGUUCAAUGGAAAACAAUUCAAUGGACAACAAAGGAAGUAUGACCCAUUUUCAAGCACUUACAAUCCAGGGUGGGGAGAUCAUCUAAACCUUAGCUAUGGGAAUAGACAGCAGAACUACCAACCAAGAACCAACUAUCAAGCUGCAAAAUCAGGUAUGUCUCUAGAAGACAUUGUUCAAUCCCUUGCUAAUAGCACUCUUGCUUUUCAACAGGAAACAAAGUCAAGCAUCCAGAAUUUGGAGAAUUAAAUGAGCCAACUUGCUACAUCAGUAAGCAAGCUAGAAUCACAAGGGAAAUUGCCCUCCCAAACCGUGCCAAAUCCAAAACAGAACGCAAGCGCAAUUACGCUGCGAAGUGGGAAGGAGUUGGAGUCUGCCAGUCCGAAGAGGCUUGCCCAAGGUAGUAUGACAGACCAGAAGGUAGAAGCAAAAAUAAAGAUUCCAGAAGAGAAACAACCCCAGGAAUCUGAGAAAGAACAAACUCCAAUGCAAGUAAUUCAUCCACCUUUUCCCGAAAGACUUGCAUAAAAAAAGAGGGAAAAGGAAGAGAAAGAGAUCUUAGAGAUCUUUCGCAAAGUCCAGGUAAACAUACCCCUUAUUGAGACCAUAAAGCAAAUACCCAAGUACGCGAAAUUUCUAAAAGACCUUUGCACUAAUAAAAGAAAAUUGUACGGGCACGAAAAGAUUAAAGUAGUGGAGAAUGUGUCAGCUGUACUCCAAAGAAAAAUUGCACAAAAAUGUAAAGACAAAGGCAUGUUUGCUAUAUCAUGUAAAGUAGGAAAUCUUGAAGUAAAAAAGGCAAUGUGUGACUUAGGAGCUUCCAUAAAUGUUAUGCCUCUAUUAGUUUAUUUGUCUUUGGAUGCAGGUCCGUUAAAACAAACAUGAAUCACACUCCAACUUGCCAAUAGAUCAAUAGUCUAUCCUAAGGGUGUAUUAGAAGAUGUUUUGGUCCAAGUGGAAAAAAUAAUCUUCCCAGCCGACUUCUUCGUCCUAGACAUGGAGGACGAUAAUUCAUCCAACUCUACAGAUUUAUUGCUAGGAAGACCAUUCCUUAGCACAGCCAGAACGAAGAUUGAUGUGCAUGAAGGCACGCUCACAAUAGAGUUUGAUGGAGAAGAGGUAAAGUUUAAUGUCUAUGAUGCAAUGAAGUAUCCUGAUAAAAAAUUUUAUGUUUGCAGCAUAGAUGUAAUCAAACCUCUCGCUCAAGAAGCAUUUGAACUAAGCAAGGAAGACAAGUUGGAGGUAGUUCUAACCGAAAACUUGACAUUAGAUUACCUUGACGAGUGCACAACCUAGUUUGAUGAAGAGAUCAUAGAGACCAUCCACUCAUUGGAUACACCAGACCAGAAGGUAAGUACCUCUAAUUUACUUUCAAUACCCAAGUCUCACCACAAACUUCUCCCUUCAAUUCUUCAGGCACCGGAGAUUGAGCUAAAGGCUCUUCCCACACACUUGAAGUAUGUCUUCCUGGGGAAAGAAAACACCCUUCCGGUCAUAGUCUCUAAUAAACUGAGUAAAGGUGAGGAAGAUAAGUUUGUUCAGGUAUUGAAGGAGUAUAAGGAAGCAGUUGGGUAGACAAUCGCAGAUCUUAAGGGGUUAAGCCUCUCUACGUGCAUGCACAAGAUCCUCCUUGAAGAAAAUAGUAAGCCAAAAAGGGAAACACAAAGAAGAUUGAACUCACCUAUGAUGGAAGUUGUAAAAAAGGAUAUACUAAAAUUGCUUGAUGCAGGAAUAAUAUAUCCAAUUUCAGACAGUAGAUGGGUAAGUCCAGUCCAAGUCGUGCCAAAGAAAACAGGAAUAACAGUAAGAACCAACUCAGAAGGAGAAUCAGUUCUCACUUGUGUUCAAAACGGGUGGAGGGUUUGUAUAGACUAUCGCAAGUUGAAUUCAGUAACUAGGUAUCGAUCAAAUGUUAGAAAGAUUGGCAGGAAAAUCUCAUUUUUGUUGUUUGGAUGGCUUUUCAGGGUUUUACCAGAUACCAAUGGCCCUAGAAGACCAAGAGAAGAUGACUUUCACAUGUCCAUUCGGCACCUUUGCCUACAGAAGGAUGCCUUUUGGGCUUUGCAAUGCACCAGUAACCUUCCAGAGAUGUAUGGUCAGUAUAUUUUCAGAAUUUGUUGAGAAGAUAAUCGAGUUAUUCAUGGACGACUUUACAGUUUAUGGUAAUUCAUUUGAUGAAUGUCUAAUCAACCUCACACACAUUUUAAAAUGAUGUUUAGAGUCUAAUUUAGUCUUAAAUUAUAAAAAAUGUCACUUCAUGGUGGAUCAAGGCUUAAUUUUAGGACAUAUAGUCUCUAAACGAGGAAUUGAGGUUGAUAAGGUCAAGGUUGAUGUAAUUAAGGAUUUACCAUAUCCUACGUGCAUACGAGAUAUUAGAUCUUUUCUUGGUCAUGCAGGAUUUUACAGGAGAUUUAUCAAAGACUUCUCAAGGAUUGCUCAACCAUUGUGCAAACUUUUGCAAAAGGAUGUACCAUUUAAUUUUGAUAAUGAGUGUAGAGAAGCUUUCGAUACUCUUAAAGAAAAGCUAGUUGCUGCCCCCAUUAUGCAAGUACCAAAUUGGCAUUAUCCAUUUGAAAUAAUAUGUGACGCAAGUAAUUAUGCUUUAGGGGCCGUUCUUGGUCAACGAAUUGAUAAAAAAAUCCCAUGUAAUAUGUUAUGCAUCCAUAACUUUAGAUAAGGCCCAAAGCAAUUAUACCACCACUGAAAAAGAACUCUUAGCAAUUGUCUUUGCCAUAGAAAAAUUUAGAUCAUAUUUGUUGGGUACUAAAGUAAUUGUGUUUUCUGACCAUGCAGCUUUGAGAUACCUUCUAAAGAAGAAAGAAGCGAAACCGCGACUAAUUCAUUAGAUUUUAUUGUUGCAGGAAUUUGACCUUGAAAUUAAGGAUAAAAAGGGAUCAGAAAACUUGGUGGCCGAUCACCUCAGUCGUUUAUUUCAAUCCCAAGAUGAAUUCCCUUUAAAAGAUGAAUUUCCUAACGAACAAUUAUUUUUUUCAUAGGUGACAAGCCCUUGGUAUGCAGAUUUGGUAAACUAUAUGGUGACCAAAAGUUUUCCAGUAGGAAUUUCAAAAAGCCGAAAAGAGAAAAUGAAGCAUGAUGCACGACAGUACUUUUGGGAUGAGCCGUACUUAUGGAAAUUUUGUGCUGACCAAAUAGUAAGGAGAUGUGUCCCAGAAAGUGAAAUAGAGUCUAUUCUUCGUUUCUGCCACUCAGAAGCCUGUGGAGGGCACUUUGGACCAAAGAGGACAGUAAGGAAGGUGUUAGAAUGUGGACUCUACUGGCCCAAUAUAUUCAAAGACUCUUAUAUGUUUUGUAAGGCAUGUUCCAAUUGUCAAAGAACGGUAACCUAGGAUACCGAGACCAGAUACCCCUUGCACCUAUACUGGUAAUUGAAAUUUUCGAUGUAUGGGGUAUAGAUUUUAUGGGUCCAUUUCCCUCUUCAUUUGGAAACUAAUACAUUUUGCUUGCUGUUGACUAUGUCUCAAAAUGGGUGGAGGCUAAGGCCACCAGGACUAAUAAUUCAAAAGUUGUUUCUAUUUUUUUGAAAACUCAUAUAUUUGUUAGGUUGAGAGUUCCACGACUACUAGUGAGUGAUCGAGGAACCCACUUUUGCAAUAAGGUGAUCGAAUCAUUGUUGAGAAAAUAUGGAGUGACUCAUCGUAGGUGAUCGAAUCAUUGUUGAGAAAAUAUGGAGUGACUCAUCGUACCUCUACAGUAUACCAUCCACAGACAAAUAGUCAAGCAGAGGUUUCUAACAGGGAAAUUAAAUCGAUUCUAGAGAAAACUGUCAAUAUUAAUGGGAAAGACUGGAGCAACCGCCUUGAUGAUGCGCUAUGGGCUUAUAGGACAGCCUAUAAGACCCCAAUAGGCAUGUCACCAUUCCGGCUAGUUUAUGGCAAGCCUUGCCAUUUGCCAGUUGAGCUAGAGUAUAAAGCCUUUUGGGCAAUAAAGCAAUGGAACAACAGCUUAAUAGAGGGAAGUUCUAAUCGAAAGUUGCAAUUGCAGGAACUGGAGGAAAUAAGGAAUGAAGCCUACGAGAGUGCAGAAUUUACAAAGAGAAAACCAAAACUUUUCAUGAUGAAUCAAUUUCUCGGAAAAAUUUUCAGAUGGGCCAAAAAGUUUUACUUUUUCAUUAUCGGUUAAAACUUUUUCCAGGAAAAUUGAGAACACGAUGGAUUGGUCCGUUUGUUGUAAUUAAGACUUUUAACCAUGGAGCCGUGCAAAUUCAAAGUCUUGAAACUAGUAAAAUUUUUAAAGUAAAUGGCCAUAGGCUCAAACUCUUUUAUGAGGGAUUCAAGCCCAAAGAUGAAGAAAUUAUGAUUCUGGGAGUACCACAGAUCGGAACUUAAAGAAAGAAAAGUCCAACCUAGGACAAUAAACAAGGGCCCUGCUUGAGAGGCAACCUAAGAUUACAGGCUUGCCCAAGCCUAUAGAGUCACAAGUAAGUUUUCUUUUAAUUUUUAAUUUUAAAUUAAUUUAUUUAUUAUUUUUGGAGAAAAUUGAAUCUUCUAGAUAAUUCGGGAUUUUAGGAAACUUUUUGGAAGUUAUUAUUUUUAAAAUUGCUCCCAAAGGAAGGUAGGUUUUGUUCUACUUCAUUUUAUUUUCUAAUUAAAAAAAUAAAUAAAAAAUAAAAAAAAUAAAAAAAUAAAAAAGAAAGAAAAAAUAAAUAAAUAAAAUAAUAAAAAAAUAAUAAAAAAUAAUAAUAAAAAAAAAGAAAGAGAAACCUGAUUUUUUUCUCUCCUGUCAUCUUCAUCUUCUAUCUUUUUCUUUUUUCUUUUCUUCUCUUCCCUGCAGAUGGCCCGCACCGCCUCUUCCCGUGCCGAGAGCCACGCCGCCGGCGCAACAAUCGGGAGCUGCCGCUCAUCGCGCCGCCGUCAGACCACAACGAAGAUCCUGGCGCACGCGGGGACAGGCCUCGCAGGCAGCGCAAACCAGCGGACGCGCUGGUCGCAGCUCCUUCCGCACAUUCCACCUCAUCGGUCGCAGCUCCUUUCGCGCGUUCCACCUUGUCGGUCGCAGCUCCUUCCAUGCGUUCCACCUCGCCGGUCGCAGCCUCUCCAACGCCGACACCGCCGCCGUCCACUUCCUCGCCAGAUGCAACCACGUGCCAGCGUUCACAAAUGAAAGGUAAGGUUCCUAUUUAUGACUUAAUGAGUGAUGAUGAGGAAGAAUGGGAGGUGAAACCCGAAAUCCUGAAAAUGCAACCAAGAACCAUAAAAUUAAUCGUGGAGGCUUCGGAGGACAGCAGCGAGGACACGACCUCGAGUGCUAGUGAAGAAAUCCAGGCUUAUUCUCCUCCAAAGAAAAAGCAGAAAAAAUGGAUGCCCAGGAUAACUAGUGGAAAGGCCAGAUAUCUACCUGCAGAGCAAGACCUUCAUGGCAAUUUUAGCUUUGUCGGCGAUGAUGAGAUGAGAUAUAAAAUUUUUCUCAAUUCUGAUAUUUAUGCUUGUAAGAAAAUAAAUGAUGAUACCUUGAUCCAAUUGCGAUUGUGUGAUGAAGUUUACGCUUUAAUUGAUACAAUUGGAUGGAGAAAAUUUUUUGUUAUAAAUUGCCCCUCCUAUGUUGAGCUUUGCCGUGAAUUUUAUGCAGCCUAUGAGUUUUCUUUUGAUGCACAGGAUUUUAAUUUGAAUAUUCCUACAAUUUGUUUUAGGUUGCAAAAUAAAAUGGUCCCAUGUUCAAUCACAACAUUUAAUUUGUAUUUGGGUAUUUAUGAUAAUGAAUAUGUCAAAACUGUUGAAUAUUUAGAUUUAUUAUGUGACUACCCAACGGAUUGGAAUCCAAUUUUAGCACACAAGGAGUUAACAGGGAAACCUGAGCUUAAAUUUAGGGGUGGAAAAUCUAAAGAUAAUGAUAUUCAGAGCGCUGCCAUUAGAUACCUUCACAGAUUCCUGUGUUACACAUUUUUUGAAAAAAAUAAAGAUCCACCUAAACUCACAAAAUAUGAACCUUUCUUCUUGUGGUGCAUGUUAAAAAAAGGAAAAGUUAAUUUUGGUUUUUAGUUAGCCUCACAGUUUAAAAGUAUAUCUAAUGCUGGAUGUGGUAUAUACUUGGGUUCUGUAAUUUCAAUGCUAGCAGUAGGGUUCGGUGUACUUGAUAUUAAAAACACUAAUUUACACAUAGCUGAGCCUAUUCUUCCACUUGACAUAUCUGCACUUAAUUCUAUGGGCUUACUUUGCCUCAACGAGAGGAAAGAAUUUGUGUUUUGUCCUCCAGGUCCUAUCAUUCCACCACGAUCGCGUUUAUUUCGGACAGAGGACCAGUCAACUAUGGAUGCCAAAUUGGAUGCCAUUCUCUCUCACUUGGGGUUGCCCAUACCCCAACCACCAGCAACCUGAGUUCCAGGCGACUUACUCUUAAGGGAAGUUCUCUUUGAUUUUACUUUUAUUUUAUUUUGUGAACUUCCCCAGUUGAAUUGAAUUUUUUCCACAUUGAGGAUAAUGUGAGGAGUAAGUGUGGGGGGAGAUGUGGUAUGAAAAUAAAAGUGUUUUUAUGAUUAAUGAGAUUGAUUGAUGAUUGAAGAACAUAUAUAUCUGCUGUAUUCUAAAAUUUCUAGGAAUUUUUAUUUCUUUUUUUGCCAUUUUUCUUUGAGUUUUUGAUGUUUGAGCUAGAGGUUGCCCAAGCCUAUAAACACUUAAUCUGAUUCUCAGCAGUUUCUCAACACUUGCACUUUAAAUUAUUUCUCAGAUUUAAUUUUUAUGAUUUCUAGUAUUGACAUCAUAUUCUACCAAAAAAAAUUUAAAAAAAUUAAAAUAAAAUAAAAUAAAAUAAAAUUUUUUACAGCUCCUUACUUGCCAUGAGAAAUUGGUACGUCCUUUGUCGUAGAAUUCAAGUUCUUAUGCCAUUUGUAUGCUAGCUUAAAUAGAAUAAAUUCAUCAUUGUUCAUUUUGUUAGUUUUAUUUUUAAGGCUUAUUUUGAAAAAUCAUGAAGUAUGGUUUUUAUCUAAAUAGUUGAGUAAUAAAUGCAUGUUCUUUUAAAUGAGUUGCUGCCCUUUAUUGAGAAUGAAUUAAAGGACAUUUUCUAGACUAUAUGUUUAUGUGAAAAUUAAGGAGGGUCAUCAAAGAAAAAAUAAAAAUAUAAAAAAUAAUAAAUAAAAAUAAAAAAUAAAAAAUAAAUGCACUUCUAUGACCCACUCCUCUGGUUGUUUAUCAAUUGGUUACCAACCCGAUGGCCCAAGUAGUGCGGUACUUGGUGACCCCUUAAGGUGAUUCUGUAUGGAGAAAUCGGUGUUUGGGAGAGUAUCACCCCUUUUGGGCUGUUUAAAAACUCGUCCAUAUCUUUUUAUUGGAUAAUUAUGAGUAGAGCUAGUAGCCACCUGAGCUGAAUAACCUGGGACAAGUGGCUCAAUAACCAUUUGUUUCACGUUCACUUUAUCGGUUUCCGGCAAAAUAUAGUAGGAAGUGUAAAUAAUAAAUAAUAACCCCAAAGUCUUUAAAUUUUAUUGGUCUAGUCAAGAGUUCUUAAGAUUCUACUCUUUCAAAAGCGCAGUUUAAUAUUAUAUGACAUUCUAAUAUUUUUGUGCUUGAAAUUGAAUUGAGGACUAACUUUAUGUCUUGAGAAACACAUUUUAAAUAUGAAACUUGUUAAGGUUAACUUUGGUGAAAUUAAGCUAUUUCUGCUAUCAUCCUAUUUCAUGACAGUUUGGUUCUUUGUUUUGGACAAAUUAAAUUUCAGAUUGGUUGAGGACAGGGCUGAGUUUUAUUGUUUCAUUUCUAUGCUUGAGGAAUCUGAUGAGUUGCAAAACUCACAAUUUUAUUCCCAUUUAAUUCCAUGAUUUUACUAUAAUUUUGAGAUAAAUAUUUAAUUUUAAUUUGAAUUUAAUUUUGGAUAGGUUUGUGAGCAGAAGUUGAGAAAAGGAACGGAAAAAGGCUGAAUUAAAGGAUUUUUUUAUAAUGGGAGGCUACAACCUUGAUCAAACCUGUAAUCCAAGGCGAUGGGAAGAUAAGAUAGAUUUUGCCGCCUAAGCAAGGAUAAGAUCAACUUCAAGUGGAAUCAAAUUGAAUCAAACUCAAUCAGAUGAGGAUAAAGAUAAGAUUAAGAUAGAGAUAGAUAGAAAUAAUAGAUUUUAUUUUAAAUUUUAUCUUUUUGUGCCUAUAUAAAGUCUCAUAGCAUUAAACCUAUGGAUCAUAUUCUACCUCUCAUCUCAUUUCCUCUCUUGCUGUCCUCAUUUCUUCUCCAUCUUAUUUUCUUUUUCUUCUUCUUUUGCUUAGUUUUUAUAAUAUUAUUAUGGCCAUGAGUGGCUAAAUAAUUAUUUUUCAGUUGAAUAUUAAAUUAAAUUGAGAUUUGUUCAAAUUGUG
Molecule: long non-coding RNA, 17330 nt
Filed under: Manihot esculenta (cassava)
Lineage: Eukaryota; Viridiplantae; Streptophyta; Magnoliopsida; Malpighiales; Euphorbiaceae
Description: long non-coding RNA (MESC_LNC003904)
Source: RNAcentral